Molecule: ribosomal RNA, 206 nt
Filed under: uncultured bacterium
Lineage: Bacteria
Description: partial 16S ribosomal RNA
Rfam family: Bacterial small subunit ribosomal RNA
Source: RNAcentral
UGCGUAGGUGGUUUCUUAAGUCAGAGGUGAAAGGCUACGGCUCAACCGUAGUAAGCCUUUGAAACUGAGAAACUUGAGUGCAGGAGAGGAGAGUAGAAUUCCUAGUGUAGCGGUGAAAUGCGUAGAUAUUAGGAGGAAUACCAGUUGCGAAGGCGGCUCUCCGGACUGUAACUGACACUGAGGCACGAAAGCGUGGGGAGCAAACA